GACGAACGCUGGCGGCGUGCUUAACACAUGCAAGUCGAACGGUAAGGCCCUUCGGGGUACACGAGUGGCGAACGGGUGAGUAACACGUGGGUGAUCUGCCCUGCACUUCGGGAUAAGCCUGGGAAACUGGGUCUAAUACCGGAUAGGACCACUGCCUGCAUGGGGUGUGGUGGAAAGCGUUUGCGGUGUGGGAUGGGCCCGCGGCCCAGCAGCUUGUUGGGGGGGUGAUGGCGAACCAAGGCGACGACGGGUAGCCGGCUGGAGAGGGUGACCGGCCACACAGGGACUGAGAUAGGGCCCAGACGCCUACGGGAGGCAGCAGUGGGGAAUAUUGCACAAUGGGCGCAAGCCUGAUGCAGCGACGCCGCGUGAGGGAUGACGGCCUUCGGGUUGUAAACCUCUUUCAGCACCGACGAAGCGCAAGUGACGGUAGGUGCAGAAGAAGGACCGGCCAACUACGUGCCAGCCGCCGCCGUAA
RNAcentral lists this ribosomal RNA (478 nucleotides) under uncultured bacterium. Its description in RNAcentral is "partial 16S ribosomal RNA". It matches the Rfam family "Bacterial small subunit ribosomal RNA", at positions 28 to 523 of the family's 1533-position model. The record is from RNAcentral.